RNAcentral lists this ribosomal RNA (1099 nucleotides) under Streptomyces rubrolavendulae. Its description in RNAcentral is "bacterial SSU rRNA". The stretch from base 357 to 1099 matches the Rfam family "Bacterial small subunit ribosomal RNA", at positions 1 to 762 of the family's 1533-position model. Lineage: Bacteria; Bacillati; Actinomycetota; Actinomycetes; Kitasatosporales; Streptomycetaceae. The record is from RNAcentral.
GAUGAGACGUCGAUCUCUGAAGCACUUGGACUGCAUGCCUAGUCGACGCACCGUGGGGUGACGCUCAGUGAUCUUCGCCGUAUACCAUGUCGGACCGUCGAGAGCGCCGCCCACUCUGUCACGACCAAGUGACCCACGCUUCGAGCGUUUCCGGAUUUACUAGCGCUUAGUAGGUCGUCUGCGGCCGGUCUAAUUGGACCGAUAGUCCCGCGCGUUUGCCGGGCCCCCCCUAAUUCCAUGAGAGUUUCACUGUCGGCCCUGGAUGGCCCGGCACUGCACGUUGUUCGUGUUCGAGUCGCGAGCGAUUCGCGAGUAGAUAGUGUCGCCUCACCGCGGUGCUCUCAUGUUUUUAACAUAGAAAAAAGGGGUUUAUCACUCAGGACGAACGCUGGCGGCGUGCUUAACACAUGCAAGUCGAACGAUGAACCCACUUCGGUGGGGGAUUAGUGGCGAACGGGUGAGUAACACGUGGGCAAUCUGCCCUGCACUCUGGGACAAGCCCUGGAAACGGGGUCUAAUACCGGAUACGACCACUUCAGGCAUCUGAUGGUGGUGGAAAGCUCCGGCGGUGCAGGAUGAGCCCGCGGCCUAUCAGCUAGUUGGUGAGGUAACGGCUCACCAAGGCGACGACGGGUAGCCGGCCUGAGAGGGCGACCGGCCACACUGGGACUGAGACACGGCCCAGACUCCUACGGGAGGCAGCAGUGGGGAAUAUUGCACAAUGGGCGAAAGCCUGAUGCAGCGACGCCGCGUGAGGGAUGACGGCCUUCGGGUUGUAAACCUCUUUCAGCAGGGAAGAAGCGAAAGUGACGGUACCUGCAGAAGAAGCGCCGGCUAACUACGUGCCAGCAGCCGCGGUAAUACGUAGGGCGCAAGCGUUGUCCGGAAUUAUUGGGCGUAAAGAGCUCGUAGGCGGCCUGUCACGUCGGAUGUGAAAGCCCGGGGCUUAACCCCGGGUCUGCAUUCGAUACGGGCAGGCUAGAGUUCGGUAGGGGAGAUCGGAAUUCCUGGUGUAGCGGUGAAAUGCGCAGAUAUCAGGAGGAACACCGGUGGCGAAGGCGGAUCUCUGGGCCGAUACUGACGCUGAGAGCGAAAUUUU